This 2164-nucleotide unclassified non-coding RNA is filed under the name Leishmania donovani. Its description in RNAcentral is "gene:LdHU3.11.0910(CDS-product:anion-transporting _ATPase-like_protein)". The record is from RNAcentral. Lineage: Eukaryota; Euglenozoa; Kinetoplastea; Trypanosomatida; Trypanosomatidae.
CAACGCGCCUUCGCGAAAAGCUUCUCUUCCUUGAUCUCGCCACACGAGCAGUCGCGCGGAUAGCCACCCCUACGCCGCUAGGCGAACCAUAAUAAGGCAAAACACCAUAUACGCAGAGAACAGCGCAGCGGGUGAAAUGAUGGACCCGACUCUGACGGAGCUGCUGCACGCCAACCUGGAGUGGAUCUUUGUUGGCGGCAAGGGCGGUGUGGGCAAAACAACCACCUCUUGCGCGUUGGCUACCUUGUUUGCCACGACGCCAAUCAGCGAUGCCGCGUCGCCAGGAGGCACGCGGCCGCGACGGGUGCUGCUGAUCUCGACAGAUCCUGCACACAACCUCAGUGAUGCCUUCAACCAGCGCUUCGGCCCACAUCCGACACCGGUGAAAGGGCUGGAGGAAUCCUUGGCUGCCAUGGAGGUGGAUCCGAAGAACUUCACCCACGGUGCGUUGAUGAGUUCCCUGACAGGGACGAAGAGGGACGGCAGUGCUUCGUCCCUGCCCGAGGAAGCGGCGGCAGACGCCGCCCAGCACACCACAACCUUUGCUCGUAUCGGUGCAGUUCUCAAGGAGGCGGCGCGCACCAUGCCCGGCAUCGACGAAAUCUCUGUGUUUGCAGAAAUCCUGCACUACGUCCGCACGCUGUCCUACGACCUGCUCAUCUUCGACACCGCGCCGACAGGCCACACGCUGCGCCUGCUGGCAUUGCCACAGACGCUGAACAGUACCUUUGACAAGUUAAUGAGCCUGGAGGGCUUGGCGCCGAUGAUAGAGGCGGCUUCGCACCUUAUCGGCUCCAACCUCGGAGAUCUCGGUGGUGCUUGCGGUGACACCGCGGGCUCCUGCGAGCAAGCAACAGCUGCGCCUUCGCCGUCGAGCGCAGCUCCCGGCGCGGGCUCGGCGGCUGCGGCCUCGCCACAGAGCAGGUGGUGCAUCACCGCAGACGAAGUCCGCUCGACAGCGCUUCACUGGCGUCAGACGAUGGAGGAGGUGCAGGCCCGCUUCAGUGACCCGAACCGCACCAGCUUCGUCUGCGUCUGCAUUGCCGAAUUUUUGAGCGUCUACGAAACAGAGCGGCUUGUGCAGGAGCUCAUGAAGUAUAACAUCGGCUGCGACAGCAUCGUGGUGAACCAGCUCGUGCUGAAGCCGUCGUCAGAGCCGCCGUGUCGCAUGUGCUCGGCUCGACAGAAGAUUCAGGCGAAGUACCUUGAGCAGAUUGAUCUCCUGUACGAGGACUUCCACGUCGUGAAGAUGCCGCUGCUCAGCGACGAGGUGCGCGGCGUCCCGGCACUGAAGAAGUUCGCGCGCUUCUUGCAGGAGCCGUACAGUCCGGAGACACAUGGCUACAUCGACGUGCAGGAGCCUUGCUAAUAAGCCAGAGUGUGUCGAUGCCGAUGCUGGAAAAAGAGCGUCCCAAAUCAGAGUGGGGGUGAGGGCUCCCGCGCUGCACUGAUGACAGGACCGUGUGCUCAUGCGAGCGCUCUCGACAAGGUUAGGGAAGGGACGGAAGUGCGUGGGAGAUGGGCGGGUCGGAUGCGCGCGCCUUCCAGCUUCUCUGAAGCCGUUUUUCUUUUUUCCUUUUGAUGCUGGUCUGCCGGGCCCUUGCUCUGUGCAACGCCGUGCUACAGCGGGAAAGAGAGACACAAAGAUCGAACUUUUCGGCCCCGCUCUUUUCCCUCGAACACCACACAUGUGAGCAAACCCAAUGGCGCAGGCAGCCGGCAUACACACGCACAUUAUGUGCGCGCGCACACAGCGACACUCGCGUUUGCGUGCGCUUCUACGCGUCGUCUUUUUUUUGGGGGGGGAGUAGGGGCAUUUUUUUUAUUGCUUGAAUGGCUGUCGCCACCGCCUCCCCUGCGACGCCUGGCCACGCGGCGCCCUUCAACUAUCUGUGGGUGCUGCAGCAGCGGCUGUUGUUAACGGAUACCAUCGAGCAAGCUGCCCUCUCUCUUGCCUCGUUGCACGACUCGACCACGCCUCAUCACGGUCAUGCAGCGCGGCAAAGGUAUAGAAGCCCGACUCUCGUGGAGAGGACGGCUCUCGUGUGCCUGCUCGUGGUUGUGAGCCCACUGCUCACCACAUGUGCGUCGAGUAGGUGGCCAUGCUAUUCCUCUAUGAUGAUGACUGUCUGCUGCCUCGCCCGUACCCCGUGCUCGCCAGCGA